This 2452-nucleotide long non-coding RNA is filed under the name Vitis vinifera (wine grape). Its description in RNAcentral is "long non-coding RNA (VVIN_LNC007814)". The record is from RNAcentral. Lineage: Eukaryota; Viridiplantae; Streptophyta; Magnoliopsida; Vitales; Vitaceae.
AAAAAUGAGUCACAGGAAGGUUCGUUCCCAAGGAAGCGUGCCCUUCUCAUGGGAGGACAGUCCCGGAGUUUCCAAGGCUGCCCACCAGGAGUGCCCUGCAAAUAUAGGAAUCUAUGCCCUUAACCUACCCCUACCCCCAUCCCCACCCCCAUCACUACCACCAUCCAAUUCACCUCCUCAGGUCUCUAUUCAAAACGUGAAGAUCCCUCUUCCUCCAUGCCCAGAUCAACCUCCGCUUAGAAGAACUUCGUCAAAGGGCCUCUGGGGGCAGGAGGAGGACCCUUUUCUCGCAGCCUACAAGGAAUGCACCAAAAGUGUUGAAAGUGCUAAGAAGCCUAAAGAAAGUAAGAAAGGAUUUGGGUUUGGAAGAAGGAAGUGCAAGUUUACAUUUUCAUGCAAGCAUUCAUGCGAGGUUGAGGACGACAGUUGGAUGAGGCUUACUCAUCUUCCCCCACUUCCCAAAGUGAGAGCAAAGGUUCGGGGGUUGAGGUGAGACUGAGAGACAGCAGUCUACCCAGUGUAAGGAGGAUGAAGCAGUGCUCUGGUACUCAUCAUCUUUUUUCAAAUAUUCUAACUUAUAUGAAUGUAAAGAUGAUUUGUUAAGGAAGUUUCAGUUUAAUUUUUGUAAUUUUGUCUGAAUUUGAUGGGAUUGUGCUCUCCGUUUUUCUUGGUGGCUUCCACAUUGGGUUUGUCAUCCGAUGUUACACUUCUGGUAUCUGAUUUUACUUCAAGCAACAACUUACAACUCACAAGAGAUUGCAGAUUAAUCUGUUUGAAUUUCUUUCACCUGAUUAACUUGGUCAUGCCUUGUUUACAUAUUUGUUUUCUUUAUCAUUUAGAAAAAUAAGAUUCCCCAUGUAUUUAUCGUAUCAAAAAUCGUUUUUUUUUCCCUCUUUUGCAUCAAUUCUUUUUGAGGACUUGCUGAGAAUUGUUCUAGAUGAGCAUUAGGUCCAUAAUGCAUGAGAUAUUAAAAAAAAAGAAAGAUUUGAUCUGAAGUGGUUAUGAAAAGUGGGGCAUUUUGGUUUGAAUUUAGUUGUUAGUUCAAAAGGGCGUCAUUGGAGAUAAUAUUUUAGGGGAAAUGCUCCAGUAGGUGCACUGGAAUGUAGGAUUAGUGUGCUCCAUUUUGAAGUGUUGCUUUCUUGGAACAAGGAAUUUGCUAAGGGGAUGAUGGCAAGAGCUUUUAAAAAUAAUGUCAGUCAUUGAACAUAGUAGGACUGAAAUUUGAACUGCUGAUAGGCAUAGCUGAGCAAACUAACCUAAUUAGUUUGCACAUUUGUGUCCUUGUGGGUAUGACAGAAGGUUCAAUAAAGGAAAGAAAACAUAUGGUUAUGAGGCGGGGCAGCUCUUUUCUCCAUUGCCUUAAUAACAAAAUAUAAUUAAACCCUGAACAACCCAUGGUUUUAGCACACAUCUACUUGUUGAUUCUUCCUUUAAUCUAGCUAACAAUAAUUCCAACAUUUCUGUUCUUACCUGCUUUGUUUUUCUCUCUAGUCUGCACUGAAAAAAAAAGGAAAAGAAAAGAAAAGAAAAGAAGGCGCCGUAAUCUGUGCGUUGAUAAAACUCAUAAAAGAGUGGAUGCUUAAAACAGGGGAAGAGGCUAAUCAUGAUUGUAACCGUCCAUUCACUUUCUGUGCCUUAUUCAUUGCAAUUGAAUGACUAAUUGUAUCACCAGUACUGCACAGUUGUGUCCUUUUCCCCCUUUCUAUUAUUUAGUUUUUGAGCUCCCUUGGAGUUGAAGCAAUUUUCCUUCUGGUGAAAGUUUUUUUUCUUUAAGGCAGUGCAUUUUGUCUAGUCUUAGACAUGAAGGUCCUGUAGCUGCCAAGGCAUCAAAGCAGUGCAUGUAAUUAUCUCCUUUUUUUCCCCCUUACAAUCUUUUUGUAUCUUUUCUGUAGUUCAGUAAGUAUGCAGAUACAACUAAAAUGAAGAAGUUGGCUUGAAUUACGGCUCAUAUAUAUAAAUAGUAGCGUGUUAGCUUUGUGGGUCCCUGCUAAGCGUCCAUGGAGUACAAUGAACAUUUCGAAAUGCUUUGAACAGAGCCAUGAUACAUAUUAUAUAAGAUCCUUGAAAUCUAUAUAACCCCUUCCUCCACUUCUCCGCCUUGACUGCAUGAUUGCUAAAAGUUCUUCCCUGAAUUGUCUAUGCAACAACCAGUUUAACCCUUGUGAAUCCAGUGUUUUUCUUUAAGAUAAAGCCAUGCUGGAAUGCCAAAGUCUAGUGUGGAAAAGGCCAUUUUUGGCCUUAGAGGGUGUUCUUUUUGGCUCCAUUUACAAGGGCUGUUUGCAUUGAGGGAAGGUUAAGUUCCAAGGUUUAACUUCUUGAACAAAUUUUGCUAACAUGGGAAGUGGGUUUUAUAUUUGGUGAAGAAAUUUAGAAUAAAAUUAUCACAUGAAGUUCUCAAUAGUCUUAAAAUGAAAUAGAAAAUUCAAAGUCUGUAGAUGAAGUUCCUUAACCA